This 500-nucleotide ribosomal RNA is filed under the name uncultured bacterium. RNAcentral describes it as "partial 16S ribosomal RNA". It matches the Rfam family "Bacterial small subunit ribosomal RNA", at positions 30 to 523 of the family's 1533-position model. The record is from RNAcentral.
AUUGAACGCUGGCGGAAUGCUUUACACAUGCAAGUCGAGCGGCAGCACGGACUUCGGUCUGGUGGCGAGUGGCGAACGGGUGAGUAAUGUAUCGGAACGUGCCCAGUCGUGGGGGAUAACGUAGUGAAAAUUACGCUAAUACCGCAUACGAUCUAUGGAUGAAAGCGGGGGAUCGCAAGACCUCGCGCGAUUGGAGCGGCCGAUAUCAGAUUAGGUAGUUGGUGGGGUAAAGGCCCACCAAGCCAACGAUCUGUAGCUGGUCUGAGAGGACGACCAGCCACACUGGAACUGAGACACGGUCCAGACUCCUACGGGAGGCAGCAGUGGGGAAUUUUGGACAAUGGGCGAAAGCCUGAUCCAGCCAUUCCGCGUGCAGGAUGAAGGCCCUCGGGUUGUGAACUGCUUUUGUACAGAACGAAAAGGUUUCUACUAAUACUAGGAGCUCAUGACGGUACUGUAAGAAUAGGCACCGGCUAACUACGUGCCAGCCGCCGCCGUAA